AUUGAACGCUGGCGGCAGGCCUAACACAUGCAAGUCGAACGGUAACAGGAAGCAGCUUGCUGCUUUGCUGACGAGUGGCGGACGGGUGAGUAAUGUCUGGGAAACUGCCUGAUGGAGGGGGAUAACUACUGGAAACGGUAGCUAAUACCGCAUAACGUCGCAAGCCCAAAGAGGGGGACCUUAGGGCCUCUUGCCAUCGGAUGUGCCCAGAUGGGAUUAGCUAGUAGGUGGGGUUACGGCUCACCUAGGCGACGAUCCCUAGCUGGUCUGAGAGGAUGACCAGCCACACUGGAACUGAGACACGGUCCAGACUCCUACGGGAGGCAGCAGUGGGGAAUAUUGCACAAUGGGCGCAAGCCUGAUGCAGCCAUGCCGCGUGUAUGAAGAAGGCCUUCGGGUUGUAAAGUACUUUCAGCGGGGAGGAAGGGAGUAAAGUUAAUACCUUUGCUCAUUGACGUUACCCGCAGAAGAAGCACCGGCUAACUCCGUG
Molecule: ribosomal RNA, 490 nt
Filed under: uncultured bacterium
Lineage: Bacteria
Description: partial 16S ribosomal RNA
Rfam family: Bacterial small subunit ribosomal RNA
Source: RNAcentral